This 1260-nucleotide long non-coding RNA is filed under the name Triticum aestivum (bread wheat). Its description in RNAcentral is "long non-coding RNA (TAES_LNC002138)". The record is from RNAcentral. Lineage: Eukaryota; Viridiplantae; Streptophyta; Magnoliopsida; Poales; Poaceae.
GUCGGCCUCGCAAACCAACCAUACCUACAGUAAGCACAUCGCUAUUAUUAUCUGAAUUUUUUUAUUCCAUUGAUUUUCAUAGCAUGCUGUUGGACAUUGAUUUUGCUAAAAAUUUUGACAUUGAUUUCCAUAGCAUGCUAUUUGACACUGUCGGCCUCGCCAGUGAGAGUAUUGAGGCUUGAUUGCUUCCGAGCACUCAGCUGUGGUGAAAUAAGUGAGCUUUUCUUUGAUUUGUUGGCCCUGCAUUUUGGGAGCAGAUACUUGUUUUUGGAGCAUUCUUUUUCUAGGAAUUAUCCGAACCGGCUUUGGAACAUCCUUGGCUUCCCUGCGGCCUCCAGGUUUUUGUGUUUUCCAUAUUGUUUAGUUUGCAAAUCUGUAGCGAAUUGUCAUGCACCCUCCUUGGUUUUGGUUGCUUCAAUUGCUUGUGUUUGCUGCAGGAUUUGAUACUGUUCAGGUCUAUAUUGGGAAGGGAGUUGGUGUAGUAUGUGCACCUACUACAGUCAUAGAGUGCAUAUUUAGUCCGUUAGAGGUCCAUAUUAAGUUGGGUUUUCCCAUUGGGGGUUGAUGUGUUCAAAUUUUUGCAGAACAGGUAUAGGUUUCUUGAUGUCUGAUGUUGUGCCGUCGUGAUCUUUCAGAUCUCAGGUAAAGAUUUAACUCAGGCAUGUAUUUUAAUGACAUUUCAUUUAUUUUUUACUAUUUAGCUCAAGAUUGGUAUAGUAGACAGAGGGAGUAGCUUUUUAGGUUUUGUUUCCAUAUAUAUAAUUCCUGCUAUUUUCUAUGGGUGUACUGAUGUUUAGGCCAGGUAUCUGUGGAUACAAGUAAUGAGAAUUGGCGGCGCAAGAAGAAUGCAGAGGUAGUUGAAUAUCAUAUGCUUGAGGAUCUCCAAACACAUUUGAUAUUUCCAGGUUAGCUACUUUGUUUAAAAACACAUCAAAUGGUGCCGUGUAUUGCCAAGAAUCAUAGCAAGGGCUUUUUACAGUUCUAUGAAUACCAGGUCUUGUGAAUAUUUUGGAGUUGCUGACCUGAACAGCCUGUAUGAUUAAUGUAAGCAUGUUCUUUCGUCCAAAAAGAACUACAAUAAACAGUAUUGUGCAGCGUCCGGACAUAAACAGUAUCUGUUUGGGUCUAGCACAACAAAUUAACCGGACAAGCCCUAAGUUAUCCCAAUAAAAUGUCAUCCAUUGCAGCUAUAGAUUUUGUCUGCAUGUGAAAUUUCAUGUCUUAUUGUAACAUUGGCCGAGACGUGCAUUGCACGUGCAC